GAGAGAUUGAUAAUAAAAAUAAUUAAAAAAAUAAAAGAAAAGAAUACAAAAUAACGUCUCUGAAUCAAAUCAAAGGAUCAACUUUGGGAGCCAUCUUCCCAAACAAAUAUUCAAGGUCAUUCUCCAAAGGAGUGAGAUUCAAGUCCAUGCCAAACACCCUCUUGAUACUAUUGGACCUCCUUAGCACAGGCAAUUUCGAAACAACUCGAUGAUCAUGAGCAAAGCUAAAUCCU
Molecule: unclassified non-coding RNA, 233 nt
Filed under: Hevea brasiliensis (rubber tree)
Lineage: Eukaryota; Viridiplantae; Streptophyta; Magnoliopsida; Malpighiales; Euphorbiaceae
Source: RNAcentral